This 109-nucleotide transfer RNA is filed under the name Puccinia triticina. RNAcentral's name for it is "tRNA-Pro". Lineage: Eukaryota; Fungi; Basidiomycota; Pucciniomycetes; Pucciniales; Pucciniaceae. RNAcentral also lists the same sequence under 1 other name. The record is from RNAcentral.
GGUUUGGUGGUCUAGUAGUAUGAUUCACCCUUAGGGUUCUAGCUCUCGUCGAGGCGAGAUGACUGGCCUAUCUUGGGUGAGGUCCCGGGUUCAAUUCCCGGCCAGACCC